This 801-nucleotide ribosomal RNA is filed under the name uncultured bacterium. Its description in RNAcentral is "bacterial SSU rRNA". It matches the Rfam family "Bacterial small subunit ribosomal RNA", at positions 69 to 866 of the family's 1533-position model. The record is from RNAcentral.
GCAGCACGGGAGCAAUCCUGGUGGCGAGUGGCGAACGGGUGAGUAAUAUAUCGGAACGUGCCCAGUCGUGGGGGAUAACGCAGCGAAAGCUGUGCUAAUACCGCAUACGAUCUCUGGAUGAAAGCGGGGGACCGCAAGGCCUCGCGCGAUUGGAGCGGCCGAUAUCAGAUUAGCUAGUUGGCGGGGUAAAGGCCCACCAAGGCGACGAUCUGUAGCUGGUCUGAGAGGACGACCAGCCACACUGGAACUGAGACACGGUCCAGACUCCUACGGGAGGCAGCAGUGGGGAAUUUUGGACAAUGGGCGCAAGCCUGAUCCAGCAAUGCCGCGUGCAGGAUGAAGGCCUUCGGGUUGUAAACUGCUUUUGUACGGAACGAAACGGUCUGCCCUAAUACGGUGGGCUAAUGACGGUACCAUAAGAAUAAGCACCGGCUAACUACGUGCCAGCAGCCGCGGUAAUACGUAGGGUGCGAGCGUUAAUCGGAAUUACUGGGCGUAAAGCGUGCGCAGGCGGUUAUAUAAGACAGAUGUGAAAUCCCUGGGCUCAACCUAGGACCUGCAUUUGUGACUGUAUAGCUAGAGUACGGUAGAGGGGGAUGGAAUUCCGCGUGUAGCAGUGAAAUGCGUAGAUAUGCGGAGGAACACCGAUGGCGAAGGCAAUCCCCUGGACCUGUACUGACGCUCAUGCACGAAAGCGUGGGGAGCAAACAGGAUUAGAUACCCUGGUAGUCCACGCCCUAAACGAUGUCAACUGGUUGUUGGGUCUUCACUGACUCAGUAACGAAGCUAACGCGUGAAGUU